GGGUUGUGAGGUUAAGCGACUAAGCGUACACGGUGGAUGCCCUGGCAGUCAGAGGCGAUGAAGGACGUGCUAAUCUGCGAUAAGCGUCGGUGAGGUGAUAUGAACCGUUAUAACCGGCGAUUUCCGAAUGGGGAAACCCAGUGUGUUUCGACACACUAUCAUUAACUGAAUCCAUAGGUUAAUGAGGCGAACCGGGGGAACUGAAACAUCUAAGUACCCCGAGGAAAAGAAAUCAACCGAGAUUCCCCCAGUAGCGGCGAGCGAACGGGGAGGAGCCCAGAGCCUGAAUCAGUGUGUGUGUUAGUGGAAGCGUCUGGAAAGGCGCGCGAUACAGGGUGACAGCCCCGUACACAAAAAUGCACAUAUUGUGAGCUCGAUGAGUAGGGCGGGACACGUGGUAUCCUGUCUGAAUAUGGGGGGACCAUCCUCCAAGGCUAAAUACUCCUGACUGACCGAUAGUGAACCAGUACCGUGAGGGAAAGGCGAAAAGAACCCCGGCGAGGGGAGUGAAAAAGAACCUGAAACCGUGUACGUACAAGCAGUGGGAGCCUCUUAAUGGGGUGACUGCGUACCUUUUGUAUAAUGGGUCAGCGACUUAUAUUCUGUAGCAAGGUUAACCGAAUAGGGGAGCCGAAGGGAAACCGAGUCUUAACUGGGCGUUAAGUUGCAGGGUAUAGACCCGAAACCCGGUGAUCUAGCCAUGGGCAGGUUGAAGGUUGGGUAACACUAACUGGAGGACCGAACCGACUAAUGUUGAAAAAUUAGCGGAUGACUUGUGGCUGGGGGUGAAAGGCCAAUCAAACCGGGAGAUAGCUGGUUCUCCCCGAAAGCUAUUUAGGUAGCGCCUCGUGAAUUCAUCUCCGGGGGUAGAGCACUGUUUCGGCAAGGGGGUCAUCCCGACUUACCAACCCGAUGCAAACUGCGAAUACCGGAGAAUGUUAUCACGGGAGACACACGGCGGGUGCUAACGUCCGUCGUGAAGAGGGAAACAACCCAGACCGCCAGCUAAGGUCCCAAAGUCAUGGUUAAGUGGGAAACGAUGUGGGAAGGCCCAGACAGCCAGGAUGUUGGCUUAGAAGCAGCCAUCAUUUAAAGAAAGCGUAAUAGCUCACUGGUCGAGUCGGCCUGCGCGGAAGAUGUAACGGGGCUAAACCAUGCACCGAAGCUGCGGCAGCGACACUAUGUGUUGUUGGGUAGGGGAGCGUUCUGUAAGCCUGUGAAGGUGUACUGUGAGGUAUGCUGGAGGUAUCAGAAGUGCGAAUGCUGACAUAAGUAACGAUAAAGCGGGUGAAAAGCCCGCUCGCCGGAAGACCAAGGGUUCCUGUCCAACGUUAAUCGGGGCAGGGUGAGUCGACCCCUAAGGCGAGGCCGAAAGGCGUAGUCGAUGGGAAACAGGUUAAUAUUCCUGUACUUGGUGUUACUGCGAAGGGGGGACGGAGAAGGCUAUGUUGGCCGGGCGACGGUUGUCCCGGUUUAAGCGUGUAGGCUGGUUUUCCAGGCAAAUCCGGAAAAUCAAGGCUGAGGCGUGAUGACGAGGCACUACGGUGCUGAAGCGACAAAUGCCCUGCUUCCAGGAAAAGCCUCUAAGCAUCAGGUAACAUCAAAUCGUACCCCAAACCGACACAGGUGGUCAGGUAGAGAAUACCAAGGCGCUUGAGAGAACUCGGGUGAAGGAACUAGGCAAAAUGGUGCCGUAACUUCGGGAGAAGGCACGCUGAUAUGUAGGUGAAGCGACUUGCUCGUGGAGCUGAAAUCAGUCGAAGAUACCAGCUGGCUGCAACUGUUUAUUAAAAACACAGCACUGUGCAAACACGAAAGUGGACGUAUACGGUGUGACGCCUGCCCGGUGCCGGAAGGUUAAUUGAUGGGGUUAGCGGUAACGCGAAGCUCUUGAUCGAAGCCCCGGUAAACGGCGGCCGUAACUAUAACGGUCCUAAGGUAGCGAAAUUCCUUGUCGGGUAAGUUCCGACCUGCACGAAUGGCGUAAUGAUGGCCAGGCUGUCUCCACCCGAGACUCAGUGAAAUUGAACUCGCUGUGAAGAUGCAGUGUACCCGCGGCAAGACGGAAAGACCCCGUGAACCUUUACUAUAGCUUGACACUGAACAUUGAGCCUUGAUGUGUAGGAUAGGUGGGAGGCUUUGAAGUGUGGACGCCAGUCUGCAUGGAGCCGACCUUGAAAUACCACCCUUUAAUGUUUGAUGUUCUAACGUGGGCCCCUUACCGGGGUUGCGGACAGUGUCUGGUGGGUAGUUUGACUGGGGCGGUCUCCUCCUAAAGAGUAACGGAGGAGCACGAAGGUUGGCUAAUCCUGGUCGGACAUCAGGAGGUUAGUGCAAUGGCAUAAGCCAGCUUGACUGCGAGCGUGACGGCGCGAGCAGGUGCGAAAGCAGGUCAUAGUGAUCCGGUGGUUCUGAAUGGAAGGGCCAUCGCUCAACGGAUAAAAGGUACUCCGGGGAUAACAGGCUGAUACCGCCCAAGAGUUCAUAUCGACGGCGGUGUUUGGCACCUCGAUGUCGGCUCAUCACAUCCUGGGGCUGAAGUAGGUCCCAAGGGUAUGGCUGUUCGCCAUUUAAAGUGGUACGCGAGCUGGGUUUAGAACGUCGUGAGACAGUUCGGUCCCUAUCUGCCGUGGGCGCUGGAGAACUGAGGGGGGCUGCUCCUAGUACGAGAGGACCGGAGUGGACGCAUCACUGGUGUUCGGGUUGUCAUGCCAAUGGCACUGCCCGGUAGCUAAAUGCGGAAGAGAUAAGUGCUGAAAGCAUCUAAGCACGAAACUUGCCCCGAGAUGAGUUCUCCCUGACUCCUUGAGAGUCCUGAAGGAACGUUGAAGACGACGACGUUGAUAGGCCGAGUGUGUAAGCGCAGCGAUGCGUUGAGCUAACCGGUACUAAUGAACCGUGAGGCUUAACCUUACAACGCCGAAG
RNAcentral lists this ribosomal RNA (2925 nucleotides) under Escherichia coli. RNAcentral describes it as "23S ribosomal RNA". It matches the Rfam family "Bacterial large subunit ribosomal RNA". The record is from RNAcentral. RNAcentral also lists the same sequence under 1 other name. Lineage: Bacteria; Pseudomonadati; Pseudomonadota; Gammaproteobacteria; Enterobacterales; Enterobacteriaceae.